This 471-nucleotide ribosomal RNA is filed under the name uncultured bacterium. Its description in RNAcentral is "bacterial SSU rRNA". It matches the Rfam family "Bacterial small subunit ribosomal RNA", at positions 335 to 803 of the family's 1533-position model. The record is from RNAcentral.
ACUCCUACGGGAGGCAGCAGUGGGGAAUAUUGGACAAUGGGCGAAAGCCUGAUCCAGCCAUGCCGCGUGUGUGAAGAAGGUCUUCGGAUUAGUAAAGCACUUUAAGUUGGGAGGAAGGGCAGUUACCUAAUACGUAAUUGUUUGACGUUACCGACAGAAUAAGCACCGGCUAACUCUGUGCCAGCAGCCGCGGUAAUACAGAGGGUGCAAGCGUUAAUCGGAAUUACUGGGCGUAAAGCGCGCGUAGGUGGUUUGUUAAGUUGGAUGUGAAAUCCCCCGGGCUCAACCUGGGAACUGCAUUCAAAACUGACUGACUAGAGUAUGGUAGAGGUGUGGAAUUUCCUGUGUAGCGGUGAAAUGCGUAGAUAUAGGAAGGAACACCAGUGGCGAAGGCGACCACCUGGACUAAUACUGACACUGAGGUGCGAAAGCGUGGGAGCAAACAGGAUUAGAUACCCUGGUAGCGACUGA